UUCUUAUUGGAUCAUGAUUGUCACAUGUCAUGUUCUGAUUGGAUGUCAACUCCAUGAAAGAUGAAACAUAUUAUUGUUUUCAUUGACCAAUCAGAACGUGACACGUGACAGUCAUGAUUC
Glycine soja is the source of this 120-nucleotide non-coding RNA. The record is from Rfam. NCBI's taxonomy places the organism in Eukaryota, Viridiplantae, Streptophyta, Magnoliopsida, Fabales, Fabaceae.